AUUGAACGCUGGCGGCAGGCCUAACACAUGCCAGUCGAACGGUAACAGGAAACAGCUUGCUGUUUCGCUGACGAGUGGCGGACGGGUGAGUAAUGUCUGGGAAACUGCCUGAUGGAGGGGGAUAACUACUGGAAACGGUAGCUAAUACCGCAUAACGUCGCAAGACCAAAGAGGGGGACCUUCGGGCCUCUUGCCAUCGGAUGUGCCCAGAUGGGAUUAGCUAGUAGGUGGGGUAACGGCUCACCUAGGCGACGAUCCCUAGCUGGUCUGAGAGGAUGACCAGCCACACUGGAACUGAGACACGGUCCAGACUCCUACGGGAGGCAGCAGUGGGGAAUAUUGCACAAUGGGCGCAAGCCUGAUGCAGCCAUGCCGCGUGUAUGAAGAAGGCCUUCGGGUUGUAAAGUACUUUCAGCGGGGAGGAAGGGAGUAAAGUUAAUACCUUUACUCAUUGACGUUACCCGCAGAAGAAGUACCGGCUAACUCCGUG
RNAcentral lists this ribosomal RNA (490 nucleotides) under uncultured bacterium. Its description in RNAcentral is "partial 16S ribosomal RNA". It matches the Rfam family "Bacterial small subunit ribosomal RNA", at positions 30 to 507 of the family's 1533-position model. The record is from RNAcentral.